GACGAACCGUGCGAACGUUGUUCGGAUUUACUGGGCGUAAAGCGCGUGUAGGCGGCUUCGCAAGUUGGAUGUGAAAGCCCACGGCUCAACCGUGGAAGCGCAUCCAAAACUGCGUCGCUGGAGUCCCGGAGAGGAAGGUGGAAUGCUUGGUGUAGAGGUGAAAUUCGUAGAUAUCAAGCAGAACACCUGCGGCGAAGGCGGCCUUCUGGACGGUGACUGACGCUGAGACGCGAAAGCGUGGGGAGCAAACAGG
RNAcentral lists this ribosomal RNA (253 nucleotides) under uncultured bacterium. Its description in RNAcentral is "partial 16S ribosomal RNA". It matches the Rfam family "Bacterial small subunit ribosomal RNA", at positions 524 to 776 of the family's 1533-position model. The record is from RNAcentral.